GGGUGUGUGGCCGAGAGGUUAAGGCGUCAGGAUCAGAACCUGAUUUUCUUAGGAUUUCCUGGGUUCGAACCCCAGCACACUCA
This is a transfer RNA of Pichia membranifaciens, 83 nucleotides long. It matches the Rfam family "tRNA". Rfam says of the family: Transfer RNA (tRNA) molecules are approximately 80 nucleotides in length. Their secondary structure includes four short double-helical elements and three loops (D, anti-codon, and T loops). The record is from Rfam. NCBI's taxonomy places the organism in Eukaryota, Fungi, Ascomycota, Pichiomycetes, Pichiales, Pichiaceae.